GGCGCCCCCCGCCCCACAGCCGACUUACCGCCGGGGUCGGGGCCAGCGCCUGGGGCUGGGGCCGGGCGGAGGGAGCGGGAGGCAGCGGGGAGGGCUGAGGUGGCCUGGGCGGUAGCGGCGCCGGACACAGCCCUGGGCAGCUGCGGGCUCCGGAGGCUCCCCUCAAGCUGCGGAGCCUGAAGCCUCGGUCGGCGGCGGCGGCCUCUGGCUGCGGACGUGGCGCCCGACGCGACCCGCCCCCUCCGCAGCCUCCUCAGCUCCCGCCUCCUCCCGCGGCUCCGGCUCCGACGCGCACGCGCGCACGCGCACCCGCGGCCCCUCCCGCGCCCACCCGUUUCUCGAACUGCCGCCCUUCCAGCAGCCCCCAGCCAGUCACUUCUCGACGUGCGCAGGCGCGGUGCCACGGUGCUGCUCCCGCCCUUCGCCCCCGGGUGCCUCCGCGGGAACCCCCGCAGGACUGCGCGCGCCUCAUCCUGGGGUCUCCCCGCCCCCUUUCCCCCACCGUCCAAUCAGGUCGGGCGAGGGGCGCGAAACCCGGAGACGCGCGGACCACGGCCUUCCGGCCCGACCUCCAUCCUGGGUGGCCCCCAGAAGUCUCCGUUGCGCCAUCGAAUAACGGUCCUCGGAAUUUAGAACCUUCGCCACAGGGAAGGCAAGACGGUCGCCGCUUUCUCCGGUUCUUCUUCGCCCGGGGGCCUCAGCCUUUUUUCUUAAGCUGCUGCCCUCGAGGAGUGACUAGCUGGGCCUACUCAGCCGUCCACGUCGGGGCUCGCCUUUGUGACCAAGCGAAGGGGUGAGGAGAGACCUGGCUUGUUUGUGUUUCGAGGUUUCUUUUUCUCUUUCCUGCCCUCGAAGUGCCUGGGAGUACCGACCUGCCCGGUUCGUCCUCGCCGCCCAGCGCUCACUUAGUGCAAGGCCAGGCCUUGCCAGACGCUGGGAGAGGGUGAGUUGGAAAUGAGAGCCCGGGGCGAAGGCUCAGCCUGCGGAGCAGCUGCAAGAGGAUACGGUCUGUGCACUCCCACGUGGCCAGCCCUGCCUGCAGCUGAGCCAUCUGUCAUGUGCGGCUGGGCUUCCAAAGGAGGCUGCGGGUAGCCUCCCCAGGUUGUUUUUAGGACCAAAGAAGAUAAGUGCUGUGUUUCUUUGGUCAACAUCUAUCCCAUGAAGAUGGCCAUAAAUCCAUCAUGCCUGUUUUGAGAUCAGAAGAGGUGGCAGGUAUGAAAGGGCUUUAUAAACUGACAUCUUACACAAAUGUGCAAGUUUUCCUUUUAUGAUUUAAUUAGCAAGUCAAAAAAUACACAUGGAAAAAAAAUAUAUAUAUAUACAAUAAAGAAUAUAAACAUGAAACAAAUGCUCACAAUAUUUUUUGAAAUACAAAAUAAUCAGGGUGGUGCAACUGAGUAAUAACUAUUAACAAGGCUCAGGGGGAAAAAAGGCACACUAACCAAGAAAUCAUCCUGGAAGAAGCUAACUUUGAUCUAGUCCUUUUUAAAAAUGGACUAAAUAUAGUAUAUGGCAUCAGCCUGCUUAUUAAUUCAUCAAAACAAUGAAUUCAAUCCAUCUAGUUGACUGUGCUGAAGUUAACAAGACACUGUAGUUUUACAGAACUCAAAGGAGAUUUUAAAUCCUGCUCUUUAAAUAUGGUUAGAGGUUAGCAGUAUCUGUGGGUUGUUGUGUUUACCCAGCAUGUGAAGUUGUGGAUACUUCCUCUAUUUUCUUGUCACAGAAGUCUCAAAUAUAUCUUUACAUGUGACCUUUCAGGUUGGGACUCUAGGCAAAAUCAUGAAAUGCAUAAUUACACUUUGUUUCUUCUUGUACUUCUUUCUAUUAUAGAAUUUAUUAAAGUAAAAAUGACAUAUAAAACUAACCACUUCUGAGAGAUUUUUCAUUUUUAACAGUUAUUUAAAGCUGUAGUUGAAUCUAUUUCAUAAACCAACCAAGAGGUAGGGGANAGAUGUGACAUUGCUUAACAAGGUGAGGUG
RNAcentral lists this long non-coding RNA (1979 nucleotides) under Marmota monax (woodchuck). Lineage: Eukaryota; Metazoa; Chordata; Mammalia; Rodentia; Sciuridae. The record is from RNAcentral.